Molecule: ribosomal RNA, 464 nt
Filed under: uncultured bacterium
Lineage: Bacteria
Description: bacterial SSU rRNA
Rfam family: Bacterial small subunit ribosomal RNA
Source: RNAcentral
UCCAGACUCCUACGGGAGGCAGCAGUGAGGAAUAUUGGUCAAUGGCCGGAAGGCUGAACCAGCCAAGCCGCGUGAAGGACGAAGGUGCCAAGCAUUGUAAACUUCUUUUGUCAAGGGACAAAAUCAGGCUCGAGAGCCUGACCGAGGGUACUUGAAGAAAAAGCAUCGGCUAACUCCGUGCCAGCAGCCGCGGUAAUACGGAGGAUGCGAGCGUUAUCCGGAUUUAUUGGGUUUAAAGGGUGCGUAGGCGGUCCGUUAAGUCAGCGGUAAAAUUGCGGGGCUCAACCCCGGCGAGCCGUUGAAACUGGCAGACUUGAGUUGGCGAGAAGUACGCGGAAUGCGCGGUGUAGCGGUGAAAUGCAUAGAUAUCGCGCAGAACUCCGAUUGCGAAGGCAGCGUACCGGCGCCAGACUGACGCUGAGGCACGAAAGCGUGGGGAUCGAACAGGAUUAGAUACCCUUGUA